RNAcentral lists this microRNA precursor (52 nucleotides) under Equus asinus (donkey). RNAcentral's name for it is "mir-1302 microRNA precursor family". It matches the Rfam family "mir-1302 microRNA precursor family". The record is from Rfam by way of RNAcentral. Lineage: Eukaryota; Metazoa; Chordata; Mammalia; Perissodactyla; Equidae.
AUUUAAGUAUAAGUGUGUCUCACGCAAUAUUUGGGACAUACUCAUACUAAAA